Mustela erminea (ermine) is the source of this 3179-nucleotide long non-coding RNA. RefSeq lists it as uncharacterized. The record is from RefSeq and is a predicted model, not a curated record. NCBI's taxonomy places the organism in Eukaryota, Metazoa, Chordata, Mammalia, Carnivora, Mustelidae. The transcript has 3 exons.
GAGAGCCCGACGUGGGAUUUGAUCCCAGCGUCCUGCGAUCCUGACCUGAGCCAAAGACAGAAGUCUAACGACCGCACCACCCACGUGGCCCAGGAAUAGACUCUUCUAUUUCAAAGAUAUUACAUGGGCUUUCAGAAAAGAGCAGAGAUAGCCCUCAAAAUGCUUUUGUUGCAGUAAUAAACACCAACUGCAGAUGCUGAAGGCCUGUGAUUUCCAGACAUCUGGAACCUGUAAAUUUACUUAGUGUGGUAAGUAUAAUGGAAAGAGUAUCUGUCUUCCUCACAGGAUGUUGUAUCAGUAUAGGACAACAAACAUGAAUUGUUAAUGUGUAAAAACAAAAAUGCCUAAAUUGUCAUUAUCCAAUCUCUGCUCUCACUAAGUUUAUAACCCAGUAAUAGGGACCAUAUGAACAAUUCUAAUAGAAGCCAGAAUGACCCAAAUCCUGGGAAGGAGGAAUAAAUCAAUUGUGCCACUCCGCCCUCACAGAGGAGAAAAUGAUUGAUUUCAACAGGCGGGCUGGGGAAGGGUUCACAGAAUCGGCAGCGUUUGAGUUGGGCUGUGAGGAAGAGAGCUCAAGCAGCAUCUGGAUACAGUGGAAAGGACGUCAUCACAAUGGAGUCAGCACCCUGAGCUCUAUUCUACUUCUGCCUGCCCAGGCGCCGAACUUGCACGCAGCUCCGGCCCAGAGGGGCCUCUGAGCGCGUGCCUUUGCCCACAUUGCUGUCGGUUUAGGCGGGAAGGAGCAGCAAAGUGUACGUGGCUUUAACUGUGGACUCAGCUGUUCUUAUCCACCUGUGCACAGAAGGGCUCCUGACGUAAGAGACUCUGGCUGGAAUCCCAGUGUGUGUGUUCUACUUCCCAAGUGGGGAGAACCCUUGCCGAAGGAUGGUCAUCCCUGAUCUUGCCAGCUGCCAAGUUCUGCUAGCUGGACGACCGCAGAUGCUGUUCUGCCAUCUGGUUUCAGCUGCUUUGACUGGAGAAGCCUCACUGUUUGCCACUCUUUCAUGUUUCUCUUAAAACUGUACUGGUUCCACUAGAUUUUGUCCAUUUUAACUUAGAGCGUGAGUCUUAAAAAUUUAUCUUACUUUUCAUGUUUAACUUUUGACAGACAUCAGGAAGCAGUAACAUAAUAUAGUCCUAUAUUUAGUCCUGCUUGAAACAAGGAAAAUUAGCCUGUUAUGCCCCCGUUUCCACAGUUAGCUCAGCAUAAAUAUUUUCAGGAUCCAGAUUUGGAUGUUUGUAUUUGAAUGGGCUUCUUUCAACUUGGAUGCAGUUUUGAGGAUCCAAUUUUUGCACCGAAGACUAAGGAUAUCAUAAACAUUGAUAAGAACAUUCAGACCCAGUGGGUAAAUAAAGAAAACAGAACAUUAUAAGACACUAUUACUAGACAAGAUGCAGGAAAAAAUUUAAGCCUACUAUGAAUAAGAAUAACAAAAUAUCCUGUUACAGGAAGGGUAGGAAAAAAGAAACUAGAAAUUUCAUAUAUUGUUGUGCCAAUAUAACAUGGAACAACCCUUGUCAAGAUCUUUUUGGUCCUAAAGUGUUCUUAUUCUAGGAGUACAUCUUAUAGAACUUACACUAAGAAAAGGAUCUCAAACAAAGCAAAUCUGUUUUCCAGUGUCCGGGAUCACUGUAGACAUCCCCAGUGAUCUUCCUGUUUCUAUCCUUCCCCUACACUGCCCCCAACCCCUCACUUCAAGCAUAGUCUGUUUUCCUCACAGCAAGCAGAGUGACCCACUCUUCUGCUUAGGACCCUCCACGGCUCCUGAUUUUAUCAGGGUGUGAGGCCAAAUCCUUGCAUUGGCCUACAAGGCUGCUUCCCCUCUCUCCCUGUUACCUGUGGGACCUGUGUCCCUGUGUCUGCGACUCCUGCUGCUCCUCCUGCAAGCCAGCCACAUCCCUGCUUAAGGGCCCUUUGUUCUUGAUAUUCCCUCUGCCUCAGUGGUCUUCCCCCAGAGACCCACGUGGGCCCACUCCUGCUUGUCUUCAACCCUCUGCCUGGCUGUCGUCUGACCUACUCCAUUUAGAACCUCAGUCCACACUCCUACCCUUGAACACAGGCUGGAAUGCCCAUGUUCACCUUACCCUGUUCUUGUUCUUCUACAUACUGUACAAAUUACCUACGAUGUUCACGAUCCGUCUUCCCCACACAAGUGCAAAGUCUACAAGGGCAGGGGCUUUUUUGUGUCUUGCACUGACAUAGCCAAAGGACUUGGAAAAUGCCUGGCAUACAUAUAGGUACUCACUCAAUAAAUAACUGAAUUUUAAAAGAGCAAAAAAGAAGCAUUUCUAGAUACAGGGUUGGCUAAUUAAAAUCCCUGCAACCAGAUGCAUUCAGGACUGAUGUAGUUAAAGCCCCCUAAUGUUUCUGCAUGCUUCAACCCUCUGCAAAUAGGUACUUGGAAAGAGGAAAGAUUCCUUGAUGUAUCAGGUAUUCUUAACGGAGAAGAGAUGCACUGACAGCUUUCCCCUUGGGGUGCACCAGGAUACCUCCAGAGUUGUGGCAUUCAGGGAGGAGGCAAUGCUAACAUUCAGUGCACGAGCCCACUACAAAGACAGACAUCUGGUUUUAUUCUCCGCCUUUUAGGGGAACAGUCUCAAGCAGAACAUCAACUGAGAAAUUCCCAGAAUGAUCUAGCCCUCGAUUAUCUAAACCAAUGGAUUUAAAACUUUUAAUACAUAAGACGUUAUGGGGAUGAGGGGAAAACAUGUUUGGGGCUCCCUCUGCCAAGAUCCUGAUUUAACAGAUUUUUAGGGAAAGCUGGAAAGAUUUUUAAGAAGCAUUCUAAGUGAUUCUGAAGCUGGUGUUUCAAAGACCCCAUAGGUGAACCCUGAUACACAGCUUGGACAGAAUGUACAAGGAGGAUGAAAAAACACACUACCCAGAAUCUGUAGAUGUGAUCCACUCUGUAAUAGGAUAGUAGUAAGUAAUAAAGAUAAAUGAGCAGUCACAAGACGCAUCUUCAUCUAUGACAAUGUAACGAUCCCUCUUCUGGGAAUAAAUCAAAUGUUGCUGUUAAUGAGUACACAAACAGCUAAAAAUACAUGUAGUCCUUGAUGGAGAAAUGGAUUUUAUGAAAUUCAGUGCGUUCCUUCUGCAAAAUAAUGGAGUGAAAUUCAAUGUGCCAUGUAUGAAAUGAUUCUGUCUGUAUGUGAAAAAUAAAAAUAAAAAAAAUUUC